GCACUUCUGACGAGUCCCACAAUAGGACGAAACGGCCGUCCAGUGC
RNAcentral lists this non-coding RNA (46 nucleotides) under Schistosoma bovis. RNAcentral also lists the same sequence under 1 other name. Lineage: Eukaryota; Metazoa; Platyhelminthes; Trematoda; Strigeidida; Schistosomatidae. The record is from RNAcentral.